Molecule: ribosomal RNA, 256 nt
Filed under: uncultured bacterium
Lineage: Bacteria
Description: partial 16S ribosomal RNA
Rfam family: Bacterial small subunit ribosomal RNA
Source: RNAcentral
AACGGGUGAGUAACGCGUGAGGAACCUGCCUCAAAGAGGGGGACAACAGUUGGAAACGACUGCUAAUACCGCAUAAGCCCACGGUGCCGCAUGGCACAGAGGGAAAAGGAGCAAUCCGCUUUGAGAUGGCCUCGCGUCCGAUUAGCUGGUUGGUGAGGUAACGGCCCACCAAGGCAACGAUCGGUAGCCGGACUGAGAGGUUGAACGGCCACAUUGGGACUGAGACACGGCCCAGACUCCUACGGGAGGCAGCAUG